Molecule: non-coding RNA, 21 nt
Filed under: Caenorhabditis elegans
Lineage: Eukaryota; Metazoa; Nematoda; Chromadorea; Rhabditida; Rhabditidae
Source: RNAcentral
UAUACCUCACAAGGGAAGGCU